Molecule: ribosomal RNA, 431 nt
Filed under: Phanerophthalmus rudmani
Lineage: Eukaryota; Metazoa; Mollusca; Gastropoda; Cephalaspidea; Smaragdinellidae
Description: partial 16S ribosomal RNA
Rfam family: Archaeal large subunit ribosomal RNA
Source: RNAcentral
AAACAUAGCCCUAAGAAUUUAUUUAGGGUAAGAUCUGCCCAAUGAAAUUUUAAAUGGCCGCGGUACUCUGACCGUGCUAAGGUAGCAUAAUCAAUUGACUUUUAAAUGAAGUCUGGAAUGAAAGAGGAAACGGAAUUCAGCUGUCUCAAUUUCUUUAAUUUUAAGUUACUAACUAGGUGAAAAGGCCUAGAAAAGAUAAAAGACGAGAAGACCCUAAGAGUUUGAAGUUCUUUUUGUUGGGGCAACAAAGGAUCAAGCCUAAAUAUCCUAAGAGCUUAUAAGACGGUGUUUACAUGAAUAGAUAAACUACCUUAGGGAUAACAGCAUAAUUCUACAAUUUGAGUUUGUGACCUCGAUGUUGGACUAGGAAGCCUUUAGGCUAGCUGCCUAAACAGGAGAUUCUGUUCGAAUUAUUACUCCUACGUGAUCUG